UAAUCAUGUGGACUUUAAAGUAAAACAGGCUGGGAGUGAAUCCCAGUUCUGCUCCUCCGUGGCUGGAGCUGUGCAUCCCCUUAACCUUCCUUUAAUUGUCUUUAGAACUGGAAUAACAACCAGGAAGGCAUGAGGCUGUUGAGAGGAGAUAACACAGGCAGAAACCUUGAUUCAGGGCCCAUAUCUCUGGAUAUUUUUGGUCUCUUCCUCAUGGUUGUAAGAUGGCUGCCCUGGCACAAAACAUCAAAAUCUCCAUCCAAAUGAAGAGUAAGGAAUGAGAAGGACAAGACCCCACACUGAGGAAAAAUGCUGGGAGUGGAAUCAAAAUCUAGCCCAUCAGAGACAAUAGUGAUGAGGAAAAGGAAGGUUCAGAUAAAAAUGGA
Hyaena hyaena (striped hyena) is the source of this 383-nucleotide long non-coding RNA. RefSeq lists it as uncharacterized. The record is from RefSeq and is a predicted model, not a curated record. The transcript has 3 exons. Lineage: Eukaryota; Metazoa; Chordata; Mammalia; Carnivora; Hyaenidae.